Non-coding RNA from Camellia sinensis, 560 nucleotides. The record is from RefSeq and is a predicted model, not a curated record. NCBI's taxonomy places the organism in Eukaryota, Viridiplantae, Streptophyta, Magnoliopsida, Ericales, Theaceae.
UGCUUGCUUGUGAAAUUGUUAGCAUGUGCUAUGGAAAGUCAAAAACAUUACAGAAGUUUGGUUAUUUUGGUUUGGCAUCUUUCGAAUGUUCUUACUUUAUCUUGUUUUUCCUUGUUAGGCUAAACUGCCCAUGUCAGAAAUAAAAGCUAUUAUCAACAAGUUUAGGUCCCACCAUCUUUCUGAGCUUACCGAGCUCUCUGAAGCAAGUGGAGGCUCUCUCGGUUAUGGAUACUCUCGGAUCAUGAGUAAAACCAAAUCUCAACCCUUUGAUUCUUCAGAUGAUAAUCAAAUCACUGAAGGAACACUGGUAAUAUAACCCAUCACCCGAAGAUAAGAACUGACAUAAUAAUAUUAAAAAACAGAUCACAAAGAACUGUACAGCGGUUUACUUGAACCCUUUGGUAUAAAUUGUAUAGAAAUAUAGUUGAAUUAGUGGCAGUAGCAAACGCAUUUGUUGAUUAGUCACAUGGACAUUUUUGUUCUAAUAAUGCCCCCUGCGUGAAAGGGGCGACUGUUCUUUUUCUUUCUUCAAUUGUAUUUUGAUCUGAUAAAUUUUGGUA